UUCAAGAGAUGACCCGGGAACGUCAUUCAUUGCUACUUUAGCUUUUGAAGAAUCACUGCCAUCAGUUGAAUGAGAGAGCUUUGAGUCAUUUGCCUCAUCAGUUGAGCCAUUGCCAUCUAAACUUGAACCAGGAAGUUGCAAGUCCUUCCCCUCUUCAGUUGCAUCAGGAAGCUGCAAGUCCUUCCCCUCUUCAGUUGCAUCUGCAAGCUGAGGGUCCUUUCC
Molecule: unclassified non-coding RNA, 222 nt
Filed under: Hevea brasiliensis (rubber tree)
Lineage: Eukaryota; Viridiplantae; Streptophyta; Magnoliopsida; Malpighiales; Euphorbiaceae
Source: RNAcentral